AGUCUGUAGAAGAGGCGACACCAGGGCUUCCAAAUGAACAACCGAAAGGAAGAUAUGGAAAUCACGUCCCACUACCGGCACCUGCUGCGGGAGCUCAACGAGCAGAGGCAGCACGGCGUCCUGUGCGACGUCUGCGUGGUCGUGGAGGGCAAGGUCUUCAAGGCGCACAAGAACGUCCUGCUGGGCAGCAGCCGCUACUUCAAGACGCUCUACUGCCAGGUGCAGAAGACGUCGGAGCAGGCCACGGUCACGCACCUGGACAUCGUCACGGCCCAGGGCUUCAAGGCCAUCAUCGACUUCAUGUACUCAGCGCACCUGGCGCUCACCAGCAGGAACGUCAUCGAGGUGAUGUCAGCCGCCAGCUUCCUGCAGAUGACGGACAUCGUGCAAGCCUGCCACGACUUCAUCAAGGCGGCGCUGGACAUCAGCAUCAAGUCGGACGCCUCAGAUGAGCUUGCGGAGUUCGAGAUCGGCGCCUCGUCCAGCAGCAGCACGGAAGCUCUCAUCUCGGCCGUGAUGGCUGGGAGGAGCAUCUCCCCGUGGCUGGCACGGCGAACGAGUCCUGCCAAUUCUUCCGGAGACUCGGCCAUCGCCAGCUGUCACGACGGAGGGAGCAGCUACGGGAAAGAGGAUCAGGAGCCCAAGGCCGAUGGCCCUGAUGAUGUUUCUUCACAGCCUCUAUGGCCUGGAGACGUGGGCUACGGGCCUCUGCGCAUCAAGGAAGAGCAGGUUUCACCGUCUCAGUACGGAGGGAGCGAGCUGCCUUCUGCCAAGGACGGUGCAGUACAGAACUCUUUCUCAGAGCAGAGUGCUGGUGAUGCCUGGCAGCCCACGGGCCGAAGGAAGAAUCGGAAAAACAAAGAGACCGUCCGGCACAUCACACAGCAGGUGGAAGAUGACAGCCGGGCCAGCUCCCCGGUGCCGUCCUUCCUGCCGACGUCGGGGUGGCCGUUCAGCAGCCGAGACUCAAAUGCGGACCUGUCCGUCACCGAAGCCAGCAGCUCCGACAGCCGAGGAGAGAGGGCCGAGCUCUAUGCACAGGUGGAGGAGGGUCUCCUGGGAGGAGAAGCCAGCUAUCUGGGCCCUCCCCUCACCCCAGAGAAGGACGACGCCCUGCAUCAGGCCACCGCGGUGGCCAACCUGCGCGCGGCGCUCAUGAGUAAGAACAGCCUGCUGUCGCUGAAGGCCGACGUGCUGGGGGAUGACGGCUCCCUGCUGUUCGAGUACCUGCCCAGAGGGGCCCACUCGCUGUCCC
RNAcentral lists this non-coding RNA (1255 nucleotides) under Homo sapiens (human). The record is from RNAcentral. Lineage: Eukaryota; Metazoa; Chordata; Mammalia; Primates; Hominidae.